Mus musculus (house mouse) is the source of this 507-nucleotide long non-coding RNA. RefSeq annotates it as predicted gene, 52253. The record is from RefSeq and is a predicted model, not a curated record. The transcript is spliced from 3 exons. Lineage: Eukaryota; Metazoa; Chordata; Mammalia; Rodentia; Muridae.
AGCAAUAAGGAACUCCCAUUUCCAUAGGCCAUCUCUUUUGUUGAGCCUGUUUGUUCUCUGCUACCUGGCUGUGUGAGUCACUGGAACACUGACCCUGCACUGAAGUCAGCAGAUUCUAUUUGGAGAGUCUUGGUGAUCGUGGGGGAAAGUUGAUGAAAAUGUUGACAAAAACAUUUACUCUCCCUGGUCCCUGAACACCUCUUUCCCACCGCUGCCAGAGGGAAUGCGUCCAACAUGACCAGCCACCUGUUUCCCUUUAUACGAGCACAAGAUGGGCGGCCACUUCCAGCGUACUCCUCACUGACACCAAAUAGCAGCGUGACGAUGAAUCAAAAGUCAUCGGCGGUAGAGAUCUACUUACCAAGAAACGACACUCAGCAAGAUAAACCAAAUGAAAGUCAUACAUUAAGUUGUUGGAGGGCGAGUGAGCUCCAAACCAUGGUCACUUCUACUUUGGCAAAGUGCAUUAUUCAUGAGAGUGCUUCAGCUGGCUCCCAGUGCCAAAGG